This 200-nucleotide ribosomal RNA is filed under the name uncultured bacterium. RNAcentral's name for it is "partial 16S ribosomal RNA". It matches the Rfam family "Bacterial small subunit ribosomal RNA", at positions 8 to 210 of the family's 1533-position model. The record is from RNAcentral.
AGAGUUUGAUCAUGGCUCAGAUUGAACGCUGGCGGCGUGCCUAACACAUGCAAGUCGAGCGGUAACAGGUGUAGCAAUACACGCUGACGAGCGGCGAACGGGUGAGUAACGCUUCGGAAUCUACCCAGUAGUGGGGAAUAACUAACCGAAAGGUUAGCUAAUGCCGCAUACGACCCAUGGGUGAAAGGGGGGGAUCGCAA